This is a non-coding RNA of Populus trichocarpa (black cottonwood), 114 nucleotides long. The record is from Rfam. NCBI's taxonomy places the organism in Eukaryota, Viridiplantae, Streptophyta, Magnoliopsida, Malpighiales, Salicaceae.
UAAUCUAUUUAUGACACAUCUUCAUCUAGUUAUAAAAAAUCUACAUCUAAUUGCCCAGAACCUUCAGCUUCUGUUGACGUAACUACAUCAAUUUUAUAAGAUAUUUUAAGGAUC